GGACCUUGAAUUGCUGAUUAUUGCAGAGUAAGCAGUCUGGCUCUGCAGCAGCAAAAGCGGAGGUUUUGGCUUUGAUCCAGCAACCAUCAGAAUUAGCUCAUUGUUAAGAAUAUACAGCACAUAGCCAGUCUACCAAAACCCAGUGUUUGAGAGGGAGACUUUUUCCAAGGCUGCACUCCUUUUUGGAGUGCAGUGAUUUUUAUUACAGCAGUCUGUCCCCCUUCUCUCCGCGUUUGCAUUGCAUAUGUAGAGGUAAAGCAAGUGGAAGGGAGCGAGGGCUUUUGUCUUGUGCUCACCUUCGAGGUUGGAAGGAGGAGGCACCGCAGUUCUAGAACUGCUUCUGGAAAAUAAAAUCAUGACACCAGCUUCAACAUGUCACUGAAACCAGCAACAAUGAUGGAAGUUUUCAAGAGGGAUGACUCCAGGCUCCCCUCCCAGUUCAGGCCAAAGGGAUGCAGUGCCACAAAAACAUCAUUCCUAUCUCCCGGCGUAGAAUGAAUGCAUUUGCUGUACUGAAAAAAAAACCACCACCACAAAAAACAACAUACAUAUAUAUAUAUACUUAUAUAUUACCUCCUCUUUUUCCAGAAUCAUGUAUCUUCCAUUUGUAUUAAUUCGGUGUGUGGGUAUAGAUGAGAUCAUAACAACUAUGGGAUAUUUUCUUUAAAUAAUGUUUAGGUGUUUUUGGGACUCUAAGCCUUACUGAUGUUGUAUUUUUCAAGACAUCAAAUGACACAAAACAAAUCAAGACAGACCUGCCAGACUUGAGCUACAACAAUACCUAUACUGUGAGUCCAUGUUUACAAACACUACAGGUGGGCCUCGUGCCCUGUAUCGUUGCAGCAGCAUGUCUUCCACUUGGCCACUAUACACAUUUUAACAGCUCGGUAUUUAACUCUAUAUUUGCAUUCUUGACAGGAAUUUACUGAGGCUGAGAGUCCCCAUUCUCCAUUUAGUCUGUAUAAGCUUGUUAGUUUUGUUUUUAUUGUUUUUGUUUACCUUUGCCAGUUUAAAUCCAUAUGUUAGCCAUGUACAUUUUGAUGUAUAGAAUUAGCUGUAGAAAUGCAUUGUUUCCUUGUGGUAAGUGAUUGAGAUGCUGCCACGGAUUUGAGACACUGAUGAAUGGUGCUAUUUUGGACUUUUAAUCUGCUCCUUGGUAAGGUAGCUCUGAUGGGUUAAUUUUUUCAUGUUCUGAGAUGGUGUUGGUUCUUUGUUGUUUGGUUGUUGUAACUUGGUCUGGAUUGACUUGUUUUUCUGUCGUUUUCUGUGUGGCUUUCUCAUUCAGUACAGGACAAAGAUUAAAAUGAAAAAUAAAGUAUGAUUUAUAUUGGACAGAGUUUUCUUGGAAGAUUAUGCUUGAAGUCAGUGCAGAGGGAGCAAUCACAAAACUGCAAUUUUUAAAAUUAUUUUACCUUUAAAAAAAUGUGUGCAAUUAAAUGGAUACAUACAAUGUCCCUAGCACAUUUGGAGAUUGUUAAUCAUUUUACCAUACUGUAAAAUUGGCUUUCACCAAAUGAAUUUAUUUUCAUUUUUUUAAUAAACUUAAAUAAUGCAUUUCCUGUUCAAAGCUAUCCUUUUAACUACAGAGUUAUCAAGAUACAUCUAUUUUAAUGAUACUUUUAAAAGACGUGAGUCAACUGCUGAUUUUAAGGCAUAUUUUACAGCUUUUUAUUUUGCCCCUGGCAGCAUUUAUUGGCCUUUUCAUAGUAUCUGUGAAAAUUUUAGCAAGAAAAAGGCUAUGGGUUUGUAUGUGAUUCUGUUUGGUCCGGGAAGGAGGUGGGCUUCAUGGUAUGCAAUUUGCCUACACCUGCUCCAGCAUCAGUUUCAUAUCUGUGAUCCUUAAAUGAAUCCUGGUCUUCUCGACAUGUGAAACUUGAGAGCCAGAAAACUCUGAGCAAAAUGCAUUUUCCAGACAAGGCAUACAGUAUAUACUGUAUGUAGCUUGAAUGAUGGGACAAUCCUUUCACUAGCCUCUUUUUAAAUUCCUAACUAUGCCAAUAUACUUGAAUUAUUUUGUACUUUUAGGGUGAAAACAGUUAAGGAACAUCCAGACAAGUCUUGGACAAAAUACCAAAAAGCUUAAACUUUUGCUACUAAAAAAUGUCAAAGUAUUUGCAGUUUUGUCUUUGCUUCCACUUAAUUCAUACUGUCUGCAGUUCUAAUAUGGUGACAGAGUGAAAGCCCACCUUAGUUACUCUACUCUUGUUUGUUCUUCCUUAAAGGUGCAAAUCUUCCCAGCUUAUUCUAUUCUGUCCCAGUUUCUGAUAGUUAACAACUGAUGCAUGCACUUUUCUUUAUUUUCUCUGCAAUUGUCUUUUUUUCUGUUAGAUUAGGAAUGCCAGCUGUUUUGUAUAUAGCCAGUGACUGUAUUAGACAAAUACAGCAUUUGUAUGUGGAGAUAUAUCUGAAACUGUGUAUGGCUGUUAAUGCCAGCUUUUGUAAUAAUGUGAUCUUUAAUAAUGCACUACAGGUACUAUGUGUAAUUUUUGGCUAUUUUAGUAGUAUUUCAAUAAAUAUGCAAGCUCCUAGCUUGGUUCUGUUGAAAUCUA
This is a long non-coding RNA of Lepisosteus oculatus (spotted gar), 2549 nucleotides long. RefSeq lists it as uncharacterized. The record is from RefSeq and is a predicted model, not a curated record. Lineage: Eukaryota; Metazoa; Chordata; Actinopteri; Semionotiformes; Lepisosteidae.